UGGAGGCAGCAGUGGGGAAUAUUGCACAAUGGGCGCAAGCCUGAUGCAGCAACGCCGCGUGAGGGAUGACGGCCUUCGGGUUGUAAACCUCUUUUAGUAGGGAAGAAGCGCAAGUGACGGUACCUGCAGAAAAAGCACCGGCUAACUACGUGCCAGCAGCCGCGGUAAUACGUAGGGUGCAAGCGUUGUCCGGAAUUAUUGGGCGUAAAGAGCUCGUAGGCGGCUUGUCGCGUCUGCUGUGAAAACCAGAGGCUCAACCUCUGGCCUGCAGUGGGUACGGGCAAGCUAGAGUGCGGUAGGGGAGAUUGGAAUUCCUGGUGUAGCGGUGGAAUGCGCAGAUAUCAGGAGGAACACCGAUGGCGAAGGCAGAUCUCUGGGCCGUUACUGACGCUGAGGAGCGAAAGCAUGGGGAGCGAACAGGAUUAGAUACCCUGGUAGA
This 439-nucleotide ribosomal RNA is filed under the name uncultured bacterium. RNAcentral's name for it is "bacterial SSU rRNA". It matches the Rfam family "Bacterial small subunit ribosomal RNA", at positions 343 to 794 of the family's 1533-position model. The record is from RNAcentral.